AUGGCAGGGGUCCGGCAGCGUGGGGUGGGGCUGGCGGGGUUGGGACCACCGGAGCCCCCCAAGCCUGGCCCGGGGAAGCGGGUGGGGGGAUCCGGCCGGGGCGGGGGCGCGGGCAGCGCCUCCCCCCGCCGCCCCCGCCCCCUGCAGCCCUCCCCUCCCCUCCUCCCGCUCCUUUCCCCUCCUCCUUCGCCUGCUCGCCCGCACAGCCCGGGGCAGCCGCCGCCGUCCCGGUCCGGGCUGCGGUGCUCCGGUUCCGCUCCGGUUCCGCUCCGGUUCCCAUGCGGUGCAGCCCCGCGGCCCCCCGCGCCCAUGGCCCGGCUCUCGGUCAAGGAGCACCUGGACGGGAUCCUCUCCGACUUCGAAGCGCUCAAGAAGUCGUUUGAGGCGGAGGACACGGAGGAUGUGGACGAGGUGCCCGGCUCCCCUGCUGCGUCCCCGCUGCCCUCGGGUGCCGUCGAGAGCCACCGGUUGCUGCAGCCCAGCCCCGUGCCCCGCAUGGGCAGCGGCCCCAGCCCGUCCCACAGCCCGCUGCUGCGGAGCCGGCUCAGCACCAGCCUCACCGCCAACCGGGGCCCCAGCGGCAGCGGCAUCGCCCGCGUCGCCUCCUUCCAGACCCGCCCGGGGCCGGGCAGCGACGGCGAGAGCCUGCGCAGCUCCUCCUCCAGCCUGGAGAGCCCCGCGCCCCCCCGGCCGCCGGGAGCCCCCCCAGCCACCAGCCCCGGCCUGAAGAAGGUGCCGUCCCACGGCAGCGUCUUCCCGGCAGAGCCAGAGCGUCCUCUCCACGUGGCCACCGGCCACGGCUCGCUGCCGGCGCUGGACCUGCACAUCGCCGAGGAGCCGGGGGUCCCCCCGCCAGCCUCGCGCCCCCCGCUGCCGUGGGGUGCCCGCAGUCCCAUCACCCAGCCCCGUGCCUGCUGCCCUUCCUCCCCCUCUUCCUCCUCUUCACCCACCGAGGUGGCCCCGGGGCCGCCCCGGACGCAGCUCAGGGUCUGUCUCAGCGCCAGCCCCCGCCUGGCCCGCCCGCCCCCCCGGGGCCCAGGGGACGCCACCCUUGCUGCCCCCAUGGCCGCCGACCCCGGCGAGGGGCUGUCCAUGCUGCCAGCCCCCCAAGCAGCCCCCUUCAAGCUGGUGUCCCAGCCACAGACGGUGCAAGUGAGCUCCCAGCCCACCUUCCUCGGGGGGCUGGUGCUGAUGUCGGGGACCCCAGCAGCACCAAGGGAUGGAACUGGCACCGGUCCCCUCGUGGGGAACUCUUCCAGUGCCACCUCGGUGGGGCCACAGGGGCCCAGUGAGGCUGCGGAUGGCUGCUGCGCCCCAGGGACGCCGGAGCAUGGUAGGACUCGCUCCCCUCUGUCCCUCCCUCCUGUCCCCACCGGGACCCCUUUGCUGUCGGUGAUCCCCGAGGCGCACUGUGUGCCCUGGUGCUGGUGCCACCUUGAGCCACCCCGGCUGGUGCUAGGGACGUGGCCAUGGCAGUGCCCCGCUGGGGACACUGCCACUGUCACCAGUCCUCACCUGCAUCCUUCUCAGUGCCCAGCACUGCGGGGCUGGGUGCUUCGGGGCUCAACCUGGCACGGCUCGGCACGGCGCGUGGCAGGGGGGCCGCACGGCACGGAGCCGAGCACGGUGCUGGCAGCGCUCCCGUCCCGCCCGGCCCCGGGGUGCCUGGCGAGCUUUCCACGCCGCCCCCCGGCACUAAUUGUUUUCCCUGGCGUGGGGAGACAGGUCGGGACACAUGUGCUGCAUCCGCCACAGUGCCGAGCACCGGGGCCACGCUCGUGCCUCCUAUCUCUGCGAUCUUGUCCCGCGUCCAGCGCUUUCUUCCCUCCUCAUCCCUCCUCGCCUUGGCACGGGGACAGAUCCUGUUGCCUCCCUUCCCGCAGCGGCCCGGGGGUGGAGGAGAGGUGGCGGGAGGCCAAGGUCUGCUUUGACAUGCUCGCACCACCCGCGCCCCGGGAAGGGUGGGGAGGAAGCGGGGCCGCGGGGCCCCCCCGGCAGAGCCCCAGCGAGCCCUCCUGGGGUCCCCAAGCCACCGCUCCCAUCCCCAGGCUGUCCCUGCACCGGUGGCUUCAUCCGUGCCAGCGGUGUGGUGCGCGAUGCCCACGUGCCCAGCUGCAGCUCGUGGCUCUUGCUGUCACCCGUGGGAUGUGGGAUGUGCCCGUGGCCCCCUGCCACCACAGGCAGGGCCUCCCCAAGUGUCCCCUCACGGCGGUGGCACCACGGGGCCCCCAGGCACUGGGCACGGCACGUCCCUGGCGCUGCCUCCCACCGCCGCCUGCCCAGGCGUCCAGCCCCGAGCACGGCACGGCCCCGGGGAUGGAGGGAGGACGCCGGGGUGGCCGGGGCAUGGCCGCAGCCGCCGGGGCUGCCUGUUUACAUGCCUGGGGAUCAUUGCCUGUCUCGCUCAGGUGCCUUGAAAGCCGCCGUCGCCGGGGCUCUAAGUACUAA
This 2448-nucleotide long non-coding RNA is filed under the name Cairina moschata (Muscovy duck). Its description in RNAcentral is "domestica (muscovy Duck (domestic type)) lncRNA (ENSCMMG00000004714.1)". The record is from RNAcentral. Lineage: Eukaryota; Metazoa; Chordata; Aves; Anseriformes; Anatidae.